GACGAACGUUGGCGGCGUGCUUAAUACAUGCAAGUCAACUGAAGCAGUGGUAGCAAUAUCGCUGUGGAGGUGGCGCACGGGUGAGUAACACGUAGGUAAUCUGCCUUCAGGUCUGGCAUAACUCCGGGAAACCGGGGCUAAUAGCAGAUGAUGCAGCGGCUCGACAUCGAGACAGUUGUUAAAGCUAUGGCGCCUGAAGAUGAGCCUGCGUCUGAUUAGCUAGUUGGCGGGGUAACGGCCCACCAAGGCAACGAUCAGUAGCUGGUCUGAGAGGAUGAUCAGCCACACUGGAACUGAGACACGGUCCAGACUCCUACGGGAGGCAGCAGUAAGGAAUAUUGCUCAAUGGGGGAAAUCCUGAAGCAGCAACGCCGCGUGAGGGACGAAGGGCUUUUGCUUGUAAACCUCUGUAGUGAGAGAAAAAAAUCCCAAUCUUUGGGACAUGAUGGUAUCUCAAAAGUAAGCCCCGGCUAACUACGUG
Molecule: ribosomal RNA, 481 nt
Filed under: uncultured bacterium
Lineage: Bacteria
Description: partial 16S ribosomal RNA
Rfam family: Bacterial small subunit ribosomal RNA
Source: RNAcentral